GACGAACGCUGGCGGCGUGCUUAACACAUGCAAGUCGAACGGAAAGGCCCUGCUUUUGUGGGGUUCUCGAUUGGCGAACGGGUGAGUAACACGUGAGUAACCUGCCCUUGACUUUGGGAUAACUUCAGGAAACUGGGGCUAAUACCGGAUAGGAGCUCCUGCUGCGUGGUGGGGGUUGGAAAGUUUCGGCGGUUGGGGAUGGACUCGCGGCUUAUGAGCUUGUUGGUGGGGUAGUGGCUUACCAGGGCUGUGACGGGUAGCCGGCGUGACAGGGGGGUCGGCGGCCUGGGAAGUGAGACGGCGUCCUGGCGCCUACGGGAGGCAGCAGUCGGCAAUGGUGGGCAAUGGGGGGAAGCCUGACACAGUGAGGCGGCGCGAGUGACGAAGGUCCCGGGAGCGUAAAACCGUCUUACGGGGGAAGAACAGCUGUCGCCGGAAACGAAGCGGGCGUGACGGUAACGAAUAAAGAAGCACCGGCUAACUACGUG
RNAcentral lists this ribosomal RNA (488 nucleotides) under uncultured bacterium. RNAcentral's name for it is "partial 16S ribosomal RNA". It matches the Rfam family "Bacterial small subunit ribosomal RNA", at positions 28 to 507 of the family's 1533-position model. The record is from RNAcentral.